This 351-nucleotide long non-coding RNA is filed under the name Heterocephalus glaber (naked mole-rat). Its description in RNAcentral is "lncRNA (ENSHGLG00000036610.1)". The record is from RNAcentral. Lineage: Eukaryota; Metazoa; Chordata; Mammalia; Rodentia; Bathyergidae.
CUUUGAUAUCUAACAUGUUCUUGUUAUUCUAUUUGUUUCUACUCUCAUUUUUAAACAGAAAAUAAAAUGAUCUAAGCCUAAGUCCUUUCUUUAGGAGUUCUUACGUGGAAAGGACUUUGCCCAAUGAUUCCUUGUUGAAAUACAGUGUAACAAUACAAAGGAAAAGGAUAGUUGACAUCAUUGAUAUAUAGGCGCCAUGUCAAGGUGGCAUUCAGCAAAGAAACCAUGGAGCUCACUGAAGCCUGUUAUGUACAAACAAGAGCAUCGAUUCCGGAUGAAAAACAUUCCAGCAGUCUUGCUUCCCUCUUUAAAACUGGGCAUAUCAAUAAUUCAUUUUCACCAAGCUGUGGG